Gallus gallus (chicken) is the source of this 3762-nucleotide RNA transcript. It is a transcript of the gene named immunoglobulin-like receptor, with no coding region annotated. The transcript is spliced from 4 exons. Lineage: Eukaryota; Metazoa; Chordata; Aves; Galliformes; Phasianidae. The record is from RefSeq and is a predicted model, not a curated record.
CGGAGGAGGAAAAGAAACCCCAAACGAUCAGCAUCAAAACCUUCAAACGACGGAAAAAUAACGAAAAAGCAAAAUUUCGUUCUCCAUCCCCCAAAAAAAACCACCGCGGGGCUCUUCAGGAUCCGCCCGGAGCACUCAGCAUUGUCCUCUGUACCCCAUCCACUCCAAUGGACGCCGAGCACAGAGUUGGAGAUGGACCUGGAACAUCUGCGCUGUCAUUGGUAGAGCAAAGGGGACAAGGACCGUGGGAGAUGUACCCUAAAAACAGCCCAGUUUUAGGAUUGCCAACCAGCACCAUCCCUAAACGCGUCCUACAAAGUUCUAUUCACCAUUCAUGGGUGAGAAGAGUUCUCCUGGUUCUACACAUUUCUUGGCUUGGUGAGACUCAUGCCAGCAUGUCUUCCUGCUUGGACAACAGGCAGAGCCAUGGCCUAUUUUUCUUACUUAUAUCCAGGCUGGGGUGAGGCCUGGUGCCCGGAUGCCAUCGAGGAGUUGGGGUUGGUCUUCUGCAGAAGGAUUUUCUGCCCACUGAGAUGUCCUACGUGGGGAAAGGACAGCCCGUUGGCCUUGGCUGUGUCUUCUUGUGGGCACAGAUCCCAGUCUGGGAUACCAGCAAUGAUCCAAAGGGUUUUAUCUGCAUGAUGGAAGCCUCAACACUCACCUGCAGCAGUGGGGGUGGAACAGGACUAUGAACACCUCUGUCACUGAGAGUCAGUGGGUAAUGCGUGUCCCACGCUUCAUCUCAAGGCUGGAACCUAUGGGAGAAGAGACCUCCAGCCCCUCAUGGGCCAACAACGAGCUCCAUGUUGGAGGUGCUGACCCAAGAGAUGGGGCUUUCCUCCUUUUGCUCAGAGAUGAGGAGUUUUGAUGCCGUUCCCCACUCCGAGAGCUCACGGUGAGCACCAAGCCCCACAUCUGAGCACUUGGCUGACGUCUGUCUUUGGGAAGAAAAGGACGGGCAUCGUUUGGUGCCCACAUUUUUGCUGUGCUGGAUGUACAUGUGGUCAUUUUGGGUGGGACGCAUCAGGUAGGUUUGAAUUUAAAUAAACCUAUGGACUAAACUGUGACUGAAAUCACACCAUCUCUGGGCUUUAGAUCUAAGACUGUCUUUCUAUCCCAACCUCUACUCAGACAAUCUGCUGUUUCCUGCAGAUUUGUUCCUAGAAGUCCGUUUUUGCAGCCAACGUUACUUCCCCUUUUCUAUUUUAAGCUUCCUCCUCCUUCCUGUGCACCACACAAAACACAUCGUGGGCCUCAAACCCUCCUUCCCUCUCUUCCCUCCUCUUUCCCAUGCACCAAAACUGAAAUGAUUUCAGAAAACGAUCCCCAAAUCACACGUGUCAACUCUAGAAUCCCCCCAGAUCCUUUCUCCCACCCAUUUUGGUCUACCAGGAGGAUGAAGAGGAUGGGUGGAAGAGUCAGGAGUACCAAAGGAAGGCAGCGCUGAAGAGAGGAAGGCAGAAAUUAAUUAAUAUCACACGGCUUUGUCUGAACUGAAUUGAAAUUCUACACAUUCCUGUUUGGCUUUUAACCCUUCAUCUCUCCCGAAAUCUCUUCCUUCUCAUUCACUAUCGUGCAGAAAUUGGGAACGAAGGAGGGAAUCCUCAGAAGUGACAGUGAGUCGGAGGACAGAAAACAAGAGUCAGUGAGAGAGAUAGGAAUCAGACUGAUCACCGCUCUGAUUCCAAGGUCUGUUUUGAGGAGUGAAAGGGUCGGCCCACAGCGCUGGAGAAGGGAUGCGGGCGUGAGACUCACCUGGAGGUGGCAGUAUUGGAUCAGCAAAGAGCAACGAUGGCCGCCAUGAAGAUGAUGAAGAUGACCCGCAAGAUCCCCUUCAGACAUCCCUUUGUGCCUGCUGGGUGUGCGGUUCACCUCCCCAAGGUCACAAACAAGUGAGUGCACAACAACAGCUUGGCCAGAAACGAGUCUGUAGCCACAACUUUCUCAUGGGAAUGGGUAGGGCGGAUGGUCAACGAAGCACUGCCAGUGUUUGGCCACACCAAGCACAGCACAGAAAGACAGGAAUGUGUCUUCUGUUGGUCCUUCCCAGCAUCCCUUCCUUCCGUCGUAUCCACUGCAGCACUCGGCUCGGUGCCAUCAGCAAAGUGCUGAGGGUGCACUCCAUCCCAUCAUCUGUGUCAGUGAGAGGUGGUGAAGAGCAGCGCUCCCAGGAGGGACCUCUGGGGGUCACCACCCAUCACCACCUCCACCUGGACAUGGAGCUGUUGGCCACAGCCCUCUGGCUGCGACUUUCCAACCUAGAAAGUGCUGGAAGUGCUUUGUGGACCGUGUGUGAGCUGACAGGUGACAGCCGGAGUGGGGCAGUGUAAAAAAGAUGUGCAUACGGUUAUGUGUGUGCCACCCCAUCCUGGGCCCCACAGCCCCAACGCCUUGGGGACAGCAGUUGUCACAUGGGGAGGUGACAUCAUGGAACUCUAUCCCAAAAUGAGAACUGGCAGCAGCUCUCCGGCCACUUCCUUUCCCCGCUGCAGUCUCGCUGUCCCCAAGCUGCUCCUGUUUCAUGACACGAAGGGAGGUGGCCCUCAUUCUGGGUGAGUGACAAAGGGGACGUGGUGCCACGGGGGUUGGUGGCCCUGUGUGGGACCUGGACCGUGUCCCUUGGAGGCUGGUGGCUGCUGGCAGCGAGCAGGGCACAGCAACCCAGGGGGUGUCCCUGAGGGAUAAUGUCACCCUGCGCUGCCACCUGCCCCGGUUAACCUUACAAGCUGAGCUCUGCCAGAACGGCCAUUUGAGAUCCAAGAAAGACAUGGACAGACUUCAGGACACGGUUGAGUUUUCCUUGGUUAGCGUAGAGAAGGAAGAGGCAGAGGAGUAUCGGUGGCAGUACCGGGUUUUGGAGCCACCGGGGACAUCAGGGAAGAGCGACCCCGUGGAGCCGGUGGUGACAGGUGAGGGCACUGCGGAAAAUGGGGGUCCCUGUGCUGCCCCCCCAGCUGCCUGACCUCAUGUUUGCUCACUAGGAGUGUGCAAGACCACACGUGCACAAAGACGUGUGUGUUCUGUCCACACAAGCUCUUCAAGUGUGCACGGUGCGCUGUGUGCUCAACAUCGCCUGUGCAAUCCACGCAUGUACCACUGCAUGUGGUGGUGUGAAUUACACCAGUGUGUGUUAUCCCGUGCGCAACAAAUGCACGUAUGUAGAAGAAUACAAUAGAACUGCAGAAUCUUCAGAGUUAGAAGCAACUCUUACAGAUCACCAAACCAACUCCCUGCAGUGCAGAGGGACACCAACAGCUCCAUCCGCUGCUCAGUGCCCCAUCCAUCCUGACUUGGAAUGUCUCCAUGGACGCUGUGCCACCACCUCUCGGCGCCACCUGUGCCAGUGACUCACAGCCAUUAGUUUAAAACACAUUCCCAGCCGAUUACACCUAAAUCUUUGCUUCUUCGCUUUGAUGCAAUUUCCCACUGAAGCCCCUGCAAAGGAAUCGCUCCACGUCUUUCUUACUGUGCCUUUAGAGACCGACGGGAUGUUUGGCAUCGCAUGGGGGACGCCGUGCUAAGCCACUCACCGGCAGCCGUUCUGGGACAGAAUUCUCGCUGUCCCCAGGCUGCUCCUGCCUCAUGACACCAAUGGCCGUGGCCCUCAUCCUUGGUGAGUGACAAUGGGGAUGUGGUGCCACUGGGGUUGGUGGCCCUGUGUGGGACCAGGACCGUGUCCCUUGCAGGUUGGUGGCUGGUGACUGUGAGCUGGGCACAGCAAUGUGAGUACGGGGACAGGGGGAGAAUGGGGAUGGAAAGAGG